Molecule: ribosomal RNA, 408 nt
Filed under: uncultured bacterium
Lineage: Bacteria
Description: partial 16S ribosomal RNA
Rfam family: Bacterial small subunit ribosomal RNA
Source: RNAcentral
GACGAACGCUGGCGGCGUGCCUAAUACAUGCAAGUCGACCUUAGUGGCGAAAGGGUGAGUAAAACGUGGGUAACCUGCCCAUCAGAAGGGGAUAACACUUGGAAACAGGUGCUAAUACCGUAGAGUGAUGGCUGGACCCGCGGGGCAUUAGCCAGUGGGUGGGGUAACGGCUCACCAAGGCCACGAUGCAUAGCCGACCUGAGAGGAUGAUCGGCCACAUUGGGACUGAGACACGGCCCAAACUCCUACGGGAGGCAGCAGUAGGGAAUCUUCGGCAAUGGACGAAAGUCUGACCGAGCAACGCCGCGUGAGUGAAGAAGGUUUUCGGAUCGUAAAACUCUGUUGUUAGAGAAGCGGUAUCUAACCAGAAAGCCACGGCUAACUACGUGCCAGCAGCCGCGGUAAUAC